RNAcentral lists this signal recognition particle RNA (99 nucleotides) under Otariodibacter oris. Its description in RNAcentral is "Pasteurellaceae bacterium Baika1 Bacterial small signal recognition particle RNA". It matches the Rfam family "Bacterial small signal recognition particle RNA". Rfam says of the family: The signal recognition particle (SRP) is a universally conserved ribonucleoprotein involved in the co-translational targeting of proteins to membranes. The record is from Rfam by way of RNAcentral. Lineage: Bacteria; Pseudomonadati; Pseudomonadota; Gammaproteobacteria; Pasteurellales; Pasteurellaceae.
UUUUUGGUUCCUCGCAAUGGUAUUCAGUUUACUUGGUCAGGUUCGGAAGAAAGCAGCCAGAAUUGAAAUUACUGUGUGCCGAGGUUUUGCUGGGAAUAC